RNAcentral lists this long non-coding RNA (186 nucleotides) under Struthio camelus australis. Its description in RNAcentral is "lncRNA (ENSSCUG00000001055.1)". Lineage: Eukaryota; Metazoa; Chordata; Aves; Struthioniformes; Struthionidae. The record is from RNAcentral.
GCUUUCUGAGUUGAAGCCAACUGGUAUAAUGAAUGUGUGAGAGCAUUUCUAUUUAAACAGGAUUCAUGGGGAUGACAGAAAAUAAGGCUGGGGGAGUUGUGAGAGGUGCUACAAGCCAUCCUUUUCAUCCGCAGGCUAGAUCAGCUAAUCUUAUGCCAUUCCUGAGAGAUGCCUGGAGGUUCCUGG